Molecule: long non-coding RNA, 859 nt
Filed under: Homo sapiens (human)
Lineage: Eukaryota; Metazoa; Chordata; Mammalia; Primates; Hominidae
Description: HSALNT0003108
Source: RNAcentral
CCAAAGUGCUGGGAUUAUACAGGUGUGAGCCACUGUGCCUGCUUAUCUUUUAAUCUGGAAAGUAAGUCAAAACAAGGAUAAAUGUUUCAUAAAAUUUUUUCAAAAGAUUGUAAUUGGGCCAGGCAUGGUGGCUCAUGCCUGUAAUCCCAGCACUUUGAGAGGCUGAGGCAGGCAGGUCACUUGAGGUCAGGAGUUUAAGACCAGCCUGGCCAACAUGGUGAAACCCCAUCUCUACCAAAAAACACAAAAGUUAGCCGAGUGUGGUGGAGUGCACCUGUAGCACCAGCUACUCAGGAGGCUGAGGUGGGAGAAUCACUUGAAUCUGGGAGGCAGAGGCUGCAGUGAGCUGAGAUUAUGCCAUUGCCCUCCAGCCUGGAUGACAGAGUGAGACCCUGUUUCAAAAAAAAAAAAAAAAAAGAUUCUGGCUGUGGCAGAUUGCUUAAGUGUAUAUAAAUAUAUGUAGCCUUGAAUAAAGAAGUGUGAGUACUCCACUAGCUGAACACUCAACAUGUUAUUCUCAGUAUAUAACUUAUGUGAUCUUGCCUACCAAUAAACAUUUGAGAAAAAUGUUUAAUUCUAAUAAGAUAACAGAACCCAAAUUGAGUUCUGUUGAAACCUUUAUCAUGGCUUGCAAUAUUGUUGGAAAUUCUUAAUUCUAAUCUUGUUUUUAUUGAUGUAACAUGGGGUUUUUUGUCUUGAAAAUGAGGAUUGCAAGACCUAUAUGACAAUUGCUAGUUUAUUUCUUCAUAGUGUGAUACGAUAAUAGGAAUUUCCAGAAAUUCCCCUCCUGGCUUUUGUCCUUAAGAAGUAUUAUAAAAGUAUUUAACUUUUCUUUUCAGAAAGUGCAGUAACAUCUCGA